Molecule: ribosomal RNA, 304 nt
Filed under: uncultured bacterium
Lineage: Bacteria
Description: partial 16S ribosomal RNA
Rfam family: Bacterial small subunit ribosomal RNA
Source: RNAcentral
CAGCAGUCGCCGCGGGAAUACAGAGGGUGCGAGCGUUAAUCGGAUUUACUGGGCGUAAAGCGUGCGUAGGCGGCUUCUUAAGUCGGAUGUGAAAUCCCUGAGCUUAACUUAGGAAUUGCAUUCGAUACUGGGAAGCUAGAGUAUGGGAGAGGAUGGUAGAAUUCCAGGUGUAGCGGUGAAAUGCGUAGAGAUCUGGAGGAAUACCGAUGGCGAAGGCAGCCAUCUGGCCUAAUACUGACGCUGAGGUACGAAAGCAUGGGGAGCAAACAGGAUUAGAUACCCGCGUAGUCCCUGUCUCUUAUAC